AAACCAGCACCUCAAGUGGUCAGGAUGAUUAUUGGGCCUAAAGCAUCCGUAGCCGGCUCUGUACGUUUUCGGUUAAAUCUGUACGCUCAACGUACAGGCUGCCGGGAAUACUGCAGAGCUAGGGAGUGGGAGAGGUAGACGGUACUCGGGAGGAAGUGGUAAAAUGCUUUGAUCUCUCGAUGACCACCUGUGGCGAAGGCGGUCUACCAGAACACGUCCGACGGUGAGGGAUGAAAGCUGGGGGAGCAAACCGGAUUAGAAACCCGAGUAGUCC
This 274-nucleotide ribosomal RNA is filed under the name uncultured bacterium. Its description in RNAcentral is "partial 16S ribosomal RNA". It matches the Rfam family "Archaeal small subunit ribosomal RNA", at positions 473 to 747 of the family's 1478-position model. The record is from RNAcentral.